CCAGCCUGGGCGACAGAGCAAGACACUCUCUCUCAAAAAAAAAAAAAAAAAAAAAUUUCUGGUUUAUUUUCUCUGAAUCGUGAGGUUGUAUUAGAGAUCAGGACCCUUCACCCUUAACUACUUUAGCAUGGGAUAUACACAUGUAUUUUUGAAAAAUAUGAAUUCAUACUGUUUUCCAUUCAAAUGUUAAGAUUAUAAGGGUUUUUAAAUAUUCUUUGAUUUUACCUCUUAAGCUGAAAAUCUUGGUUCAUUACAACAUUAACAUUAUUUGCUUUAUUCUACAUAUAAAUGCAUAUAAUCAUUUCAAAAUAAGCCUGGGCAACAUAGUAAGACCCCACCUCUACCAAAAAAGGUAUUGUUAACAAUGACUACUGGUCAAAGUUUUUUUCUGCUAGCUUUUUUAGACCUUUCCCUUUGAAGAUACAAAGUUAAAAUAUGAUGUAAUUGGAUUAACUACUCUGCGCUUCUGUCACCAACUUGAUACACAAGUCCAUUUGUUUAAAUUCUAGAAAUUGUUAUAAUUUGUUUUGCGAAUACAAAUCAUUUGACUGGCUUUCUUGUCAGAACUGUAAAACCAGGCACAUUUGCUCCACACAGGCCUCUAGCACAGCUACCGAGUGCUCCGGUAAGCUCGCCGUGGGUUAGCUCGCCGUGGAUUAGCUCACCGUGGGUUAGCUCGCCGUGGAUUAGCUCGCCGUGGGUUAGCUCGCCGUGGGUUAGCUCGCCGUGGGUAAGCUCGCCGUGGGUUAGCUCGCCGUGGGUUAGCUCGCCGUGGGUUAGCUCGCCGUGGGUAAGCUCGCCGUGGGUUAGCUCGCCGUGGGUUAGCUCGCCGUGGGUUAGCUCGCCGUGGGUAAGCUGGCCGUGGGUUAGCUCGCCGUGGGUUAGCUGGCCGUGGGUUAGCUGGCCGUGGGUAAGCUGGCCGUGGGUUAGCUGGCCGUGGGUUAGCUGGCCGUGGGUUAGCUCGCCGUGGGUUAGCUGGCCGUGGGUUAGCUCGCCGUGGGUUAGCUCGCCGUGGGUUAGCUGGCGGUGGGUUAGCUCGCCGUGGGUUAGCUCGCCGUGGGUUAGCUCGCCGUGGAUUAGCUCACCGUGAGUUAGCCAGCAGAUCCCCUCAUGCUGGGCCUUGGGUUGUUUCCAGUCUUUGGCCAAUCAAAUGUCAGAGUUGGACCCAGCACCUCCGUUGGGACUGCAGAGUGCUUGUCUUCUAAGUCUGGUUAGAAGGGCAUUUCCACAUCCUUGUGGAUUCUGGCCAUCGUAUCUUAAGGAUACAUUUCUGGAAGUGGGAUUGCCAGUCGGCGGGGAGAGGCUCAUCUGGCUUGUCUGGGUGUUGUCCCUGUCCCCAAGGGGCCAGGCGUUCUGCAUCCCCACAGCAUUGUAGGAAGUCCCUGCCCCCCUCAGCAGCCGAAUCUGGUGUCAAAUUUGGAUUUGGGUCAAUCUUGUAGGUGAGAAAUGGAGUCUUGGGGUGGUUUUGGUUUGCAUUUCUCUCUCUCUUUUUUUUUUUUAAUCAUUUUCUUGAUUUUCCAAACUCAUGAGCUCGUUUGAAUAAGGAAUAUUAAUCCUAAUAUUUCUCAUUUUAAGUUAUAAUUUUUAUUGAGGUAAAAUAUACAUAAAACAACAUUUUUAUCAGAGUCCUAUAGAUGGUUAAAAAAAUUCACCAUUUUAACCAUCUCUUAAAGUCUACAAUUUAGCAGCAUUUAAUACAUUCAUAACGUACAACCAUCACUUCUGUGUGCUUCCAAAGCCUUCAUCACGCCAGAAGGAGACCCCGCGCCCGUUCAACACCAUCCCCCCACCCUCAGUCCCCGACAGUCACUGCCCUGCUUCCCACUCAAGUCACCGACACUUUGAAAAUGUGCUAUGUUAUAAAACUUUUUUCCCAGUAUACAUUUUGUCUUUUAUCACUCCUGGGUUUUAAGUCAUAUUUAAGAAGAUUUUGCCCACUCCCCGGUGAUGAAGGAAUUCACUUUUUCCUAGUACUUUUGACCCAUUUGGAAUUUGUCUUAGUGUAUGGUAUGAAGUGCAGAUUCAUUUUCGUCUUUCUCCAAGUGGUUAACGUUUAACCACUUGUAUUAACAAGUCCAUCCUUUCCUCACCGGUAUCAUAUGCUACCUUAUAGACUGAAUGUUCUAGGCACUGGGGUCUGUCCCCGGGUUUUCAUGUCCCUGGGCCUGCUUGCCUACAUGGGUCCUGGUGUCAUGUGGUUCCAUUACGGAGGCCAGGAGAUGGUUCGGGGGCAGAGGACCUCUCCAUUUCUUUUGCAGAGUUUUCCUGGCUAUUUUUACACUCCUGUGCACUUCCUCUCUCACAUGAACUUUAUAAUUAGUUUUCUAGAUCUGGGGAAAAGCAUGCGGCGUUUUUAUAAGGAUUACAUUACAUUUAUAAAUUUACUUUUGUAGAAUUGUCUUGCUUAGGAGAGUUUUCUUAUCCAGGAACAUGGUCUUUCUUUCUGUCUUAAUUCAUUUUCUGUUGCUAUGACUGAAUACCACAGAGUGGGUAAGUUAUAAAGAAAAGAAUUUUAUUUCUUACAGUUCUGGAGGCAGGGAGUCCAAGGUAUAGGAGUUGCAUCUGGUGAGGACCUUCUUGCUGGUCAAGACUCUGCAGUCUCAAGUGGUGCCGGGCAUUAUGUGAGGGUCUCAUGAGAGACGGCAAAGCUGGCUUUUAUAACCAGCCCCCUGGUGAUAACUGCUCCACUCCCUGAGAACCCAUUAGUCCAUGAAUGGAUUAGUCCUCAUGAGCCAAUCACCUCCCCAGAAUCCCAUCCCAGCACUGCUGCAUUGGAGUCCAGGUUUCCAACACAUGAACUUUUGGGGAAUUCAUUCAAACCAUGGUGGUGUUAAAAUCGACUUUGGUGUCUUUAUGGUCUAUUUAAAGUUUUUCCCAUUUAGGGUUUCACAUUUCUUUUACGCAUGGGGAUUUUUAUCUUUUUGUUGCUGUUAAAAAUGGGUCAUCUCUUCCACUCUGUCUUUGAACUGAAAGUAUGCACAAAGAUCUCUGUGUGCUACUUUAAAUCCUGCUGUUUCUCUGAAUUCUCUUAGUGUUUGUAACAUCACUUUCUUGUGCUGGAAAUAUAACAAAGUAUUUGAUCCAAGAAGCAUCUGGCAGGAAGCCUGGGCAGGAGGGGCACCUUGAGCAUGGGCUUCCUCCUCCCCUUUCCUCUGUCUCUUCUCCUACCGGCUGCUUUCCUUCUCUCCCAUCUGCUGUCCACCAGGCAGGCGUUGCCAGACCACCCCAGAGGUCCCCUCUUCAUGUUUCUUGAGGCUGCGUGGGGGGAGGGCAUGAUAGAGGGAGGCAGGGCUUCGAAGGAGGCACUCGGGGGAGGGGGGGGCGAGGAGAGGAUGGGGCAUGCGAGGGGGCCUUGUCCUCCAGCUUUGUCAGAAGCCUAAUGUGCCCUGUGGCCUGAGCUGGCAUCAGACAGGCUUUAAGAGGAGAAUGUCAGCUGGGUGCGGUGGCUCACACCUGUAAUUCUAGCACUUUGGGAGGCCGAGGUGGGUGGAUCCCUUGAGGUCAGGAGUUCGAGACCAGCCUGGCCAACAUGGCAAAACCCCAUCUCUAUGAAAAAUAGAAAAAUUAGCCAGGCGUGGUGGCAGGCGCCUGUAAUUCCAGCUACUCAGGAGGCUGAGGCACAAGAAUCACUUGAACCCGGGAGGCAGAGGUUGCAAUGAGCCAAGACUGCGCCACUGCACUCCAGCCUGGGCGACAGAGUGAGGUCCUAAAAAGGGAAGAAUAUCGCUGCAUCAGAAAGCAGGAAGGUGGGGCCUGCCCGGGGCCAUGGCCCUGCAAUGAGUUUGGCCCAGAGGCACAGACAGACAGGAGACCAAAGUGAAAUGAAUGAAAAUGGACUGGACCCGAUCGGAGGACUGAGGAGAGCCAGGCCUCAGGGCACCUGGCAUUUGUUCCCUGGAUGGAUCAGGGGAACUGAGGAGAGCCGGGCCGCAGGGCACCCUGGCGUUUGUUCUCUGGGCGGAUCAGGGGAACCGAGGAGAGCCGGGCCGCAGGGCACCCUGGCGUUUGUUCCCUGGAUGGAUCAGGGGAACCGAGGAGAGCCGGGCCGCAGGGCACCCUGGCGUUUGUUCCCAGGGUAGGGGAGCUCUAGCAUGGCACACAGUAGCAGAAGAUAGCAGGUUGUGGUCGGCCCAUGUAGAGAUUUUAGAAACAUCUCACACUUCAUGAGAUCUUAGAAACAUCUCACACUUCAGGUUCAGUCACCCGUGUCCAGUGUCCACAGGAAGGCCUGUGCAAGGCCUCAUGGGAAACAGGGUGGUCCACCAGGCCUGCCCUCAAGGGGGCCCCGUCCCGGAGAAGCAGAUGCACAAAGCUGAGGGACACAGGUCGUGGGCCUUCUUGUGUGGCUCCUUGGCCACGGCACCGCAGCACCUGAGAGCCACCGCUGGAGAGGCAAACGAGCCCUGCAGCAGGCCCGAACCAGAGUUCCUGGGCACGGCCGCGUGCACCCAGUCGGGAGCUUCCCUGCUAAGGGUCAGCGAAGGCUUGGGGUGCUGGCAUUAGGGCUGGGUCCUGAGGGAAGAUGAGGGAGAGAAGUAUAGGAGGAGGAGGGAGUUGAAGGCUGCAGACAGGAGGAGGAAGGGGAGGGAGUAGGGCUGCCAGGGGAGGGGUGGAGGGCUGGAUAAGGAGGAGGGCUACAAAGAAAAGAGUAGAGCUGCAGGGAAGGAGGGUGGAGGGCUGCAGCGGGAGGAGGAGAGGGAGGAAGGCUGCAAGGGGAGGAGGAGAGGGAUGUAGGAGGAGGGUAGUGGAGGGCUGCAGAGGAGGAGGAAGAGGAGAAUAGGGAGGACAAAUCCACUCUAGCAGGGGAACGAAAGCAGCAUGGGGCAGACAAAUCCACUCUAGCAUUCCAAUCUCCCUAAGCCUUUGAAUCCCUUCUUCUACACUAACCAUGGGCGGCCAGGCAUGUCCAGUUAUCCCAUGGUGGGCCAUGUUUUGGCCCAUGUUUCAGCCAAGCAGCCAACCAACCAAUUAGAGCCCUUUCUAAAUGCGGAAUCUCUGCUUAGUGAGCCCGUAUCAAUAAACUUGGCCUGAUCUAACUCUGUGUUCCUCCUACCAUUCUCCCAGGCCCUCAAUAUGCAUUCCCACGGUCCUGGGAUUUCUAUGUAAACUGGAAAACUCACGUUCUCUUUGACACCGUGAGGCUGGGAGUUCCACAUGUGCUAUAAUCCAGCCACUGGAAGGGCGAGAUUCUGGGUUUGAUUUUCAGUAGUCUCAGACCCGCAGCUAAAGGAGGUAAGAGUCUCUCUUGGGACAGUCAUAACUUUCAGAUUAUUCAUGUGACACUUCAGCUGGGAAUCUGAAUCCUGAGCUCACUCCCAUGAUACUUUUUCUGAGAUGGAGUCUCACUCUGUAGCCCAGGCUGGAAUGCAGUGGGGCAAUCCCAGCUCACUGCAACCUCUGCCUCCCAGGUGCAAGUAAUUCUCCUGCCUCAGCCUCCCGAGUAGCUGGGAUUACAGGUGCCUGCCACCACACUUGGCUAAUUUCUGUAUUUUUAGAAGAGUUGGGGUUUUGCCAUGUUGGCCAAGGUGGUCUUGAACUCCUGACCUCAGGUGAUCUGCCCGCCUCAGGCCUCCCAAAGUGCUGGGAUUAUAGGCGUGAGCCACCACACACGGCUUUUUUUUUUUGAGACAGGGUCUCACUGUGUUACCCAGGCCGGAGUACAGUGGUACAAUCACAGCUAACUGCAGCGUCAACCUCUCAGAUUCAACCAAUCCUCCCACCUCAGCCUCCAGAGUAGCUGGAACCACAGGUGCAGGCCACCGUGCUUGACUAAUUUUAUUUUUUAGAGAUGGGAUCUUGUUAUGUUGCCUAGGCUGGUCUUGAACUCCUGGCCUCAAGCCAUCCUCCUGCCUCCCAAAGUGCUGGGAUGACAGGUGUGAGCUACUGGUCCUGGCCCAUUAUACUCUAGUUUGAUGAAAGUGUUCAAAAGCCACCGAGAACCCUGCCUUCUGCAAGUAUUUAAUUAGGAGCACCCAGUGGUGAUACUAUGCAUACCUCUAUUGCCACAUCACACUAUGGACUAUCGGUGUUCUUUUUACUACUGGAAAUCAGCAUUAGUGCCUUUACAUCUAAUCAGGAUAAAGACCCAAUUCCAGGAACCCUCCCAUCCCCACCCUCUCGCCACUCCCCACCCUCAAUUAUUUUCAAGCAAACCCUCCGCACCUCUUACCAUGUUGUGUAUAGGUAGAAGCUAUUUAACACACACACAGUGACAUUCUGUCUAAAAUGACAACGAUCGUUUGGAGAAGUUUAUUACCACCCCUACCCUCCAGUGGGAUCUCAAUGUCACGAUGA
This 6294-nucleotide long non-coding RNA is filed under the name Homo sapiens (human). Its description in RNAcentral is "HSALNT0049946". The record is from RNAcentral. Lineage: Eukaryota; Metazoa; Chordata; Mammalia; Primates; Hominidae.